RNAcentral lists this transfer RNA (71 nucleotides) under Ruminococcus sp. RNAcentral describes it as "tRNA-Met". The record is from RNAcentral. Lineage: Bacteria; Bacillati; Bacillota; Clostridia; Eubacteriales; Oscillospiraceae.
ACAUUAGCUCAGUUGGUUAGAGCAUCCGGCGCAUAACCGGACGGUCUGGGGGUCGAGUCCCUAAUGGCCCA